RNAcentral lists this transfer RNA (76 nucleotides) under Sutterella wadsworthensis. Its description in RNAcentral is "tRNA-Lys". It matches the Rfam family "tRNA". Rfam says of the family: Transfer RNA (tRNA) molecules are approximately 80 nucleotides in length. Their secondary structure includes four short double-helical elements and three loops (D, anti-codon, and T loops). RNAcentral also lists the same sequence under 2 other names. The record is from RNAcentral. Lineage: Bacteria; Pseudomonadati; Pseudomonadota; Betaproteobacteria; Burkholderiales; Sutterellaceae.
GGGAACGUAGCUCAGCUGGUAGAGCAGCGGACUCUUAAUCCGUCGGUCCAGGGUUCGAAUCCCUGCGUUCCCACCA